GGCCGCAUGGCCCAAUGGCAAGGCGCUUGACUACGAUUGUGUAAUCAAGAGAUUGCAGGUUCGAUUCCUGCUGUGGUCA
This is a non-coding RNA of Pyronema omphalodes CBS 100304, 79 nucleotides long. Lineage: Eukaryota; Fungi; Ascomycota; Pezizomycetes; Pezizales; Pyronemataceae. The record is from Rfam.